Molecule: long non-coding RNA, 739 nt
Filed under: Malus domestica (apple)
Lineage: Eukaryota; Viridiplantae; Streptophyta; Magnoliopsida; Rosales; Rosaceae
Description: long non-coding RNA (MDOM_LNC013643)
Source: RNAcentral
GUUUCUCACUAGAGAUCUUAAGAUGGAAUAGUUGAAGUUGAAAGAAAGAGGAACACUCAACCCGGAAUGAGUCCCAAGACGAGCUUUCAAUGAUGAUGUAAUGUAACCCUAUCACAUUUUUGAGCCCCAAUGUUUUCAAGAAUCUGCAGCAAGAACAAACCCAUUUGCAAAACCCCUUCCCACCAUCCCCGAUAACAUAACUCAUGUCUCAAGGUCAAGAACCAAUAAAAAAGAGGUGUGAUAUUCACAUACCAUAUUUUACUUCUUACAUGUCUUUUUAAUUUUCAGUCGUCGGAUCAGUUGAAUUGAAGAUGAUCAAUGAACAAAAAUUAUCAAAAGUGUGUGAGAAAUAAAAUAGGAUGUGUGGAUAACACAUAUCAUAAAAAAAUAUCAAAGCCUUUUAGUAGCGUUUAAAACCUGUUUUUGUAACUGUGUUUUGAGUCAAAAUUUUCAGUCAUUGUGGGGUGUUUCCUUUUUCUCGCGAAAAGGGUAGUUACCCAAAAGAACAGCGUCAGAUCACGGUCUUCGAAGUGAUAAUUUUAUCUUUAAAGUGGUAUAAAUUACACUUUACCACCUUAAAUUUGAAGUCGAUUUCAAUUCCUUACAACAUCUUUAAAACAUUUAAUUAUCAUACCUUAAAUACUAUUUUAUUUCAAUAUAAUACAUCCGUAACAUUUUCAAUUCAUUGAUCCAUUAAUAGAUGACGUGGAUGCCACAUUUAUGCCAAAUAGCUGCUAAA